Molecule: RNA transcript, 2413 nt
Organism: Rhododendron vialii
Lineage: Eukaryota; Viridiplantae; Streptophyta; Magnoliopsida; Ericales; Ericaceae
Gene name: protein WHAT'S THIS FACTOR 9, mitochondrial
Exons: 3
Source: RefSeq, a predicted model, not a curated record
UCAUUUCUUUUCUUUCCCACUAUUCCAAAGAACCCUAAAACCCUCAUUGUCCCUCUGCUCCACCGUCUCCUUUUCCAACGUUCAUCAGUCCAAACUACCAAAACCCCCCUCCCUCCACUAUGCAAUCUCUUCGACGCUCUCUCCCCCGCCGCCGCCGCCACGAGUUCCACCGCUCCUUGUUCGACGUCGCAUCCAUCAAAUGGGUCCGAGACCGAGCCAUCGACCACGCCGUGGAGAAAGAAGGAAACCUCCAACCCUUGCUCAACCUCAAGAACCUCCUCAAGUUCGAGCCGUCCAAGUCCCUCCCACUCCCUCUCAUCGCCCAGCACAGAGAGUCCCUCGGCAUCGCCUCCCGCCCCGUCGAUUUCAUCCGCAGGUACCCUUCCGUCUUCCAAGAAUUCUUCCCCGGUGGAAUCGGUAUCCACCCGCACGUCAAAUUGACCCCCGAAAUACUCUUGCUCGAUGCCGAGGAACACUUUAUUUACCAGAGCGAUGAUAACAAAAGAGCAGGCGCUGACCGCCUUUUGAAGCUCUUGAUGUUAGCUAGAAUCAAUAAAUUCCCAUUACACAUCGUAGAAAGGUUGAAAUGGGACUUGGGUUUGCCCCAUGAUUUUACCCAAACCCUGGUCCCCGAGUUUCCUGACUAUUUUCAAGUCACUGGUGGGAAUGGGAAUCGUUCUGAUCCCCAUCUUGAAUUGGUGUGUUGGAGCGACAAGCUGGCGGUUUCGGUGAUGGAGAAGAAGGCUUGCAAAAAGGGUACGCCUAUUGCGUUCCCUUUGCAAUACUCAAGAGGUUUCGAGGUGGAUAAGAAGUUCAAGAAGUGGGUUGAUGAGUGGCAGAAGCUGCCUUAUGUUUCUCCGUAUGAAAAUGCAUUACAUCUACCGGCCAAGAGUGACGAGGCAGAUAAAUGGGCCGUGUCGGUGCUGCACGAGCUUCUCCAUCUUCUUAUUGCGAAGAAGACGGACAGAGAAAAUGUGCUUUUGCUUGGGGAGUGUUUGGGGCUCCGAGCGAGGUUUAAAAGGGCAUUGCUUCAGCACCCUGGUAUAUUUUAUCUUUCGAGUAAAAUUGGGACACAUACCGUGAUUUUGAGGGAGGGUUACAAGAGGAAUCUGCUGAUUGAGAAUCAUCCGUUGAUGGAUAUGAGGGGUAAGUAUAUUCAUCUGAUGAACACAAUUAAGGAAGAUAAGAAAACAAAAGGUUUGCAGAGUAAAAAUACUCAGCAACCGAAAUUGGCCCAUUCUUCCAAAGGAGAAGGAGAAGAAAUGCAGGAUGGUGAAACUGAAAAGGGACGAGAUGGGGAGUCAUAUGACUUUUCAGAUUCUGAGGUUGAGGAAGGCAGUGAUGAUGACUAUAGUGAUGCGGAUAGGAGUCAAAUGGUUUCUCAGGUGAAUGCUAGAGGUGAUAGAGUUAAGACAAGGAGGACACUGAAGUAUGAGGCUAAGAGGCCUUUAAGAUCUCCAAAUAGUUUAGAAGGAAGAAACCCCAGGAAGACAAGAAACAAAGAACCCACUGAAGUUUCUCGAAAUACAGUAAUGCAUGGAAGGCGUAAAAUUCGUGGGCAGUCACCCGGGAGAUUGGAAUUCUCAAGAGAUAGGGGGCGGCCAAAUUUGGAUACGAAAGCUUCUGUUUUGAAAUGAUAAUGUUUGUUUUCUGAAGCACAUUUUGAGGUUUUCGUCUCUAGAAGCUAAAGCAACAUCAUCCCAAUUCAGGUUAUCAUCGUCAAACACAAGCUCCUCCUCUAUCCUCCCAACCAACCAGUCAUUGCUUUCAUCAAUGACUUUCAAGGAGAUGGAACUAAUAUACCGCAUUUCAGGGCUCUGUAUCGCCACCGUAGUUGUCAAAAGGCCAUGUUUUGAUCUUUGAUUUUUUGGGGAGGGAUUUGAAAAGAAAAGGAACCGGUAAAGAUACUUGAACCAUACCCAAGUCCGUGCAUUCUUUCCCUUUACUUUUCUAUUUCUGCCACAAAACCCUUCCCUUCUAGAUCAGAAUACAGGCACAAGGGCAAGGGAUAAUUUUGGCAAGUUGACCUGGCCAGUCGCACUGAUCAAAAGGAUUGCAAAGAGUACAGAACGGGUUGCAGAGCUGUUUGUUAAUCCAAAGGCCGCCGAAGAAGACUCUCAGCAAAGCCCGCUUAAUAACUACGUUAAGUUCUUAAAAAUUGACGACUGCAGAAGAAUGAAACAACAAUGGUCAGAAGCAGAACAAAGGUGGAUAACAAGAAAGAACCAUGAUCGGCAACAAGCUUGAAGCACAUUCUACUGAUGAAAUGCUAGCUUUAGUGUAAAUUGCCUCUGUACUCUUGUGUUAAUGGGAUCUGUUGUAAGUUUUGGAAGGACAAAAUAUAAAGGACCGUUUUCAUUUCAGAUAUUUUUUCGGUUAAUAUAUAUUUUUUAUUUUGUGUUUUUGAAACAAA